RNAcentral lists this ribosomal RNA (272 nucleotides) under uncultured bacterium. RNAcentral's name for it is "partial 16S ribosomal RNA". It matches the Rfam family "Bacterial small subunit ribosomal RNA", at positions 524 to 795 of the family's 1533-position model. The record is from RNAcentral.
UACGGAGGGGGCUAGCGUUGUUCGGAAUUACUGGGCGUAAAGCGCACGUAGGCGGCUUUGUAAGUUAGAGGUGAAAGCCCGGAGCUCAACUCCGGAACUGCCUUUAAGACUGCAUCGCUUGAAUCAUGGAGAGGUCAGUGGAAUUCCGAGUGUAGAGGUGAAAUUCGUAGAUAUUCGGAAGAACACCAGUGGCGAAGGCGACUGACUGGACAUGUAUUGACGCUGAGGUGCGAAAGCGUGGGGAGCAAACAGGAUUAGAAACCCCAGUAGUC